GGUGAACGCUGGCGGCGUGCCUAACACAUGCAAGUCGAGCGGUGCAGUUUGAAGCUUCGGUGGAAAGCUGCAUAGCGGCGGACGGGUGAGGAAAACGUAGGAACGUGCCCCUUGGAGUUGGAUAGCCACGGGAAACUGUGGGUAAACCGACAUAGACUCGAGAGAGUAAAGGCCGAAAGGCGCCAAGGGAGCGGCCUGCGGCCCAUCAGGUAGUUGGUAGUGUAAAGGACUACCAAGCCGACGACGGGUAGCCGGUCUGAGAGGAUGGCCGGCCACAAGGGCACUGAGAGACGGGCCCUACUCCUACGGGAGGCAGCAGUGGGGGAUUUUGGACAAUGGGCGAAAGCCUGAUCCAGCGACGCCGCGUGGAGGACGAAGCCCUUCGGGUGUAAACUCCUUUUCUCAGGAAAAGGAUGAUGGUACCUGAGGAAUAAGCCCCGGCUAACUACGUG
Molecule: ribosomal RNA, 452 nt
Filed under: uncultured bacterium
Lineage: Bacteria
Description: bacterial SSU rRNA
Rfam family: Bacterial small subunit ribosomal RNA
Source: RNAcentral